Molecule: small nuclear RNA, 134 nt
Organism: Mustela lutreola (European mink)
Lineage: Eukaryota; Metazoa; Chordata; Mammalia; Carnivora; Mustelidae
Product: U4 spliceosomal RNA
Exons: 1
Source: RefSeq, a predicted model, not a curated record
AGCUUUGCGCAGUGGCAGUAUCGUAGCCAAUGAGGUUUAUCCGAGGCGCGAUUAUUGCUAAUAGAACCCUGUAACUGAAUUUCAUCCAUUUCCCAUCCACUUUGCUAGCUAAUAUAAGUGAGAAAGGUCACUGU